Molecule: ribosomal RNA, 348 nt
Filed under: uncultured Alphaproteobacteria bacterium
Lineage: Bacteria; Pseudomonadati; Pseudomonadota; Alphaproteobacteria
Description: partial 16S ribosomal RNA
Source: RNAcentral
CCGUGAGGGCUUGAGUUGCGGCUGCUGGCACACGCCCCGUCAAUUUAUUUGAGUUGCGGCUGCUGGCACACGUCCCGUCAAUUUAUUUGAGUUCCCGUCAAUACAUUGAGCCCCGUCAAUUUCUUUGAGUUCCCGUCAAUUUCACUGAGUUCCCGUCAAUUUCUUUGAGUUGCGGCUGCUGGCACAGUUGCUAUGCGGCUGCUGGCACACGUCCCGUCAAUUCCUUUGAGUUGGCUUGUUGCGGCGCUCCCGUCAAUUUAUUUGAGUUCUUGCUGCGGCUGCUGGCACACGCCCCGUCAAUUUAUUUGAGUUGCGGCUGCUGGCACACUGGCUUGUUGCGGCUGCUGA